GGAAGGACCUACACGGAGCAUUUUCGACCGAAACAACUUCAGAGUUCCUGCCAUUCUAUAGCUCAGCCCAGUCCAAAGUCCCCUGGGAUGACCUUUUUUACUUCCGCUUUCGAAGUAACUAGAACUUCACUGGAGGCAGGUUGUGAUCUUCUCCUUGAGCCCAUUCUAGGAGAAGCAUUCAAGUGCGAGUGCCUCUUGGCAGCCUUGUUUGUUCCCCUUCCUAAGAAUAUUUUCCCAGUCCAGAGUCGGAUUAGAAGCCUGCUGUUUCCAGCCCCUGCAGCUGCACACACUCUUGGACACUGACCACAAGUUCAACCAGGUGCAAACUGUCUCUGGAGCCAGGCCUUGUAGAUGCACUGAGCUGCCCAGGAGCCUCUGAGAAACCCCCUGGCUCAUCUGGAUGGGGCUUCAAUUUCAAGAGAGCCCUGCUGAGAAGGUGAAUCCACACAGAAGCAAGAGAGCCCACGGGACACCAGAGAACGUUUUACAGUUUUCUACACCUGCUGGGGAAACGAGUACCUCGUUGUCAGAAUGAACAUUUGGUGCCUCCAGUGUGCUCCACUUUCUGCUCUGAAGAAGAUGGUGGGUGUUCCCUGUUUCUUCUCUGCUGGCUUUCUCCCCACUCUCCUCCUUCUCCAGAUGUCCACGUGGUGCUCCGCAGUGUCCGGGUUUUCUGUAAAGGGACCAGCUCAGCCCAUCAUGGUGUUGCUAGGGGCAGAUGCCACCCUGCCCUGCCAGCUGUCCCCUGAGCAGAAUG
Molecule: non-coding RNA, 757 nt
Organism: Vicugna pacos (alpaca)
Lineage: Eukaryota; Metazoa; Chordata; Mammalia; Artiodactyla; Camelidae
Source: RefSeq, a predicted model, not a curated record